CCCGGAGCCGCCGGCAGCCCUUUCCGCGGCCCCCGCCUGCCCCUGAGGCCGCCUCGCUGCGCGGAGCUUCGUCUGGCAGCCCGGAGGGGACUCAAGAUGGUUCCUCCCCUCAGCCUCGCGGCGGCUCGGGAGAGGCGUCCCGAGGGAAUACGAGUCGGGAUAGUCCGGCUGCGGCCCAUGCCCCUCACGGCGGCCCGUGCCCCUCACGGCGGCCCGUGCCCCUCACGGCGGCCCGUUCUCACAGUCACGCCCGGGUGAUGGGGCUCUUCUCAAACAGCGGCAGCCGUGGCGUUCCCCAGGCUCAGACCUGCGCUCGCAAGCCUGGCCGAGACUGAUAAAUCUUUCAUGCGCUCACACAGGCUGUUUCUCUCAGCAGAGCAGAAUAAGAAAGUUUACACAGCAAGUUGUGGCUGAAGAACAGCAACUUCACUUAGAAAGGAAGGACUGAAACUCUGUGAGUUCUGCAGCUUGACAGGUCCCAAUCCAUUGCCUGAACAUGAAGGUUUGUCUUUGGAGUUCCCAAAAGCUCCUCUUGGGAGUGCACAGUGCUCUCCUGAUCCGAGUGAGUUUGGGAGUACCCUCACACCACAUAGUUGUGUCUGUGAUGGAAGCUGCAUUAACUGUUUCAAUGGAGGAAGAAGGUCCUGCCAGCCCCAUGAUUAAUUGAUGAAACCUCAUUUCUGUUCCCAGUUGGAUGACUUGGCUUGAACUUUGAGCAAAGACUAAUCACUGGAUUUAUCUCCAUCUCUAGAAUCAUGGGCUUCUUUCUCUGCACUGCCUGUAUUACAAGUGUAACCAGCUUCCCUCUGCUGUAUUUUUGUUCUCCCUUGCCCAAACAGAUGGGUUCCCUUCCUUUACUAUUGUGAGCAGAGGCAGAUGCAAAUAAAUAGGCACUUGUGCUCUGCUGUGUGGUUA
Molecule: long non-coding RNA, 915 nt
Organism: Serinus canaria (Common canary)
Lineage: Eukaryota; Metazoa; Chordata; Aves; Passeriformes; Fringillidae
Exons: 3
Source: RefSeq, a predicted model, not a curated record